Molecule: ribosomal RNA, 468 nt
Filed under: uncultured bacterium
Lineage: Bacteria
Description: bacterial SSU rRNA
Rfam family: Bacterial small subunit ribosomal RNA
Source: RNAcentral
AUCCUACGGGAGGCAGCAGUGGGGAAUAUUGCACAAUGGGCGCAAGCCUGAUGCAGCCAUGCCGCGUGUAUGAAGAAGGCCUUCGGGUUGUAAAGUACUUUCAGCAGUGAGGAAGGUGGGUAUGUUAAUAGCAUAUUCAUUUGACGUUAGCUGCAGAAGAAGCACCGGCUAACUCCGUGCCAGCAGCCGCGGUAAUACGGAGGGUGCGAGCGUUAAUCGGAAUUACUGGGCGUAAAGCGCAUGCAGGUGGUUUGUUAAGUCAGAUGUGAAAGCCCCGGGGCUCAAACCUCGGGAAUUGACAUUUGAAACUGGCAAACUAGAGUACUGUAGAGGGGGUAGAAUUUCAGGUGUAGCGGUGAAAUGCGUAGAGAUCUGAAGGAAUACCGGUGGCGAAGGCGGCCCCCUGGACAGAUACUGACACUCAGAUGCGAAAGCGUGGGGAGCAAACAGGAUUAGAUACCCUGGUAG